GCCCUGGUAGUGUAGUGGCCUAGCAUGAGAGCCUGUCGCGCUCUCGACCCGGGUUCAAAUCCCGGCCAGGGCG
RNAcentral lists this transfer RNA (73 nucleotides) under Candidatus Woesearchaeota archaeon. RNAcentral's name for it is "tRNA-Asp". It matches the Rfam family "tRNA". From Rfam's summary of the family: Transfer RNA (tRNA) molecules are approximately 80 nucleotides in length. Their secondary structure includes four short double-helical elements and three loops (D, anti-codon, and T loops). Lineage: Archaea; Nanobdellati; Candidatus Woesearchaeota. The record is from RNAcentral.